RNAcentral lists this unclassified non-coding RNA (206 nucleotides) under uncultured fungus. RNAcentral's name for it is "partial contains 18S rRNA, ITS1 and 5.8S rRNA". The record is from RNAcentral. Lineage: Eukaryota; Fungi.
UGGUGAACCAGCGGAGGGAUCAUUACCGAGUUUACAACUCCCAAACCCCUGUGAACAUACCUUAAUGUUGUCUCGGCGGAUCAGCCCGCGCCCCGUAAAACGGGACGGCCCGCCAGAGGACCCAAACUCUAAUGUUUCUUAUUGUAACUUCUGAGUAAAACAAACAAAUAAAUCAAAACUUUCAACAACGGGUCUCUUGGUUCUGG